This is a non-coding RNA of Myodes glareolus (Bank vole), 2765 nucleotides long. The record is from RefSeq and is a predicted model, not a curated record. Lineage: Eukaryota; Metazoa; Chordata; Mammalia; Rodentia; Cricetidae.
UGAGGGGUCGCAGAUGGAGCCGGGAGCUCAAUUUCCGCCUGGUUUGGAUCCUGGAGCUCAGUUUACCACUAAGCCUUACACUAUAUUAAAGGGUUUGGCCAACGCUAGCAUGCUACGAUUGUAAAAGGCAAGCCUCAGUAUGUCCCCCGUUUCUUUCUGAGAAAUAUCGAAAUAGUUGUUACUUCAGAUUUAAGUGACAGGCCCAAUUCUUGAAGAGAACCAGCCUACCGACUCCGCUGGACACGCCUUCCCGACGAUCUGAUUUGCCCGCCUGCAGUGGGCGCCCUGGGUUAGCUAAUGACUGAAAGAAUGGUACCAGUCCAGACAGCAGAGCACAGAGGUGUGCUCUCAGGGCUUGUUAUCACUGGCUUCAAGGCUACCCUGGGGUUGCUGGGAGCCAUAGCAGCCUGCAACCCAAUCAUUACAGUCUGGGAGGACGGUGUGCCAAACGGCGAUAGUUUGAGUAAAUGAUCAUUGAGGGAAAGAGGCUAGUGGGAAGUAGCAAGCGUUUUCAGUCUCUCAAAGGUAGACAGGAGACUCAUGACAUCAUCUUUCUAAACGAAGCCAGCCCAUUUGCCUCGAUCUUUUUCUGGUCACUUCUUGAGCGUGGAGGUGGGGAAUCUAUAAUCAUUUUGUAUUUCCCUGCUCUCAGCGUAUUAUCUGGUCAUGUAUAAUAAAUGAGCCUCAGGAGAAUGAGAAAAAUGAAUGCAUCGGGUUUUGCAGCAGUUAAAUGCAUCUAUUUAGCUCAAACCUGCAUUCAGAACUCAUAGCACUUCCCAUCUGUGUGAACUUGGUGUUAUACAGCUUCUCAUUUCCUCAUUCCCCGCAUUUGUUAAAUAUGGAAACAGCUCCUCAGAGGAUUUCUGUGAAAAUUGAAUGAAGGAAACUGUCUAACAAAGGACCACAGGGCACGUAGAACUUCACAUGCAUUUAAUCCUCUCUAUAAACCCCGAAAGAAUAACGCACUCAAGUGCACACAGCUGUUGGGGGGCAGAGCCUGGUUUUAAGGUAGGUUCUUACUGAUGAACAGAUGCUCGCCACCUGAGCUUAAUUACUGGUGUUCCUGGAAAGGCUUGGCGAUCACUGGCGAUCACUGGAUCAACUACUGGCCCCAUCCCAGAGUUCCUGAGCUGGGCUUCCAGGCUAGCUCAUCAAACCGGAUCUUGGUGACAAUGUUCUUGGAAAGCAAGGAACUGGAAGCAGUGUGUCAUGAGGAGGAAGCCUGGGAUGACAGCUGAGCCCAUGUGGUCCUCGCCUCCCCCCAUUCAGGGUUUUGGAUUCUUCCCAGUAUCUGCACCAGCUCCCCAGGGCUGUACCUACCUUGCAAUGCACUACAACAAUCAAUACGCUGCAACAGCAACGGUAAGUACAGCCUUAAUCCCUGCGGAGUGAGCCGAAGCCAGGGCUCAUUAUUCACUUCCGGUAUCUCGGUGCUUAGCUUUCAGAAUCCCAUUCUGUAACUCUCCCAGGUCUAGUAAUCUGUCUGCUUCAUCACCGGCAAUGGAAGUUGCCAUAGCAGAGUCUUGCUUUCCACUUUUCUUUACCGCAGAGCGUGUCUUUCCUGGCUCUUCCUGUGAGAUCAUUUAACUAUGAUUCUUAAUGAUCAUUCAGGAAUCCUCUUGACAACUGUCAUAUUUCACCAGAUAUUCUCCUACAAAAGAGUGAUACAUACCAUUUCCUCCAGCUGCUUGCCUUUCUCUUCUGAGGAUCUGUUGUGUAGAACUAUCUUCCAAGCCACACUGCCACCAUCUUCAGGAGUGCUACUGAACCAAAUUUCAAAAGAUAAUCACAGCUGGACCUGUGGGCUAUUUUCAUCCCUCAUAGGAGGGAGGAAGCAGAGGCCAGUGAAUCCUCCCUGAGUAUUCAGGCAUCCCUCCCAGCCAGUUGUAUAUAAUUUUUCCCUAGUUACGUGUGGUCUUGGGGGAGGAGAUAGAGGAUGUAGGUGGGGAAGGAUGAGGGGACAGGGUUCCAUCUAUGAAGCCCUAGGGACGCCACCAGCCUUGCUGUGUGGCUAUUUUAAGGUCAUCUGUGCUCCUGCCUAUAAUCACUUACCCGUUACUCUGUAAUAAGCCUGCCCAAUAAACUCACUGGUACCCAGGAUGAACUCUGGUACAGUCAGACAUACUUGCUGUUAAAAAUCUAUGAUAUCAACCACUGUGUCACUAAACGGUUAUUAUGUGUGUUUUAUUUAUAUCAAUAAUAUGUUCUAACAUGAUAUAAUAGAGAUUAUAAACUACAUAAGAUACCUGGAAUCCUAACACUUGGGCUGUAGAGGCAGGAUGACCAGUUCAAGGUCAUCUUUCGCUGUGUAGAGAGCUCAAAGUCAGCUUGGACUACAUAAAACCUUAAAAUAAAACAAAGCAAGCUUCAGUCUCAUGUGUGAAGAUGACUACACUGUUGACAUUGGCGUUACUUUUCCUGUCCACAGCAUGUGUUCUUCAAGCAUGCUUUAUGGUCCUAGGGGCUGGGUUUGCUCUGAAGUGCAGAAACUCAGAACUUCUCUUGUUGAACCUCACAAAGCCAAGCUUUAGUUUCCCAAGUAGUGGGGCUUCCCUAGGCCUGACUGCCUUUGUCGGCGAUAUUGAUUUUAAUUGAAAGUCUUGUACUUUGUACCUCCAUAAGCAAAGGUGGUUUGCUCCUGGCUUACAAAAUGUGCUUCAGCUCUGAACCUCAACUAUCACCCGUGAGUCUACGGAAGGCCAGGAGAUGGGUGUGCAUAGGCGUGCUCAGAAUGCAGAGGGCACGGCAGAAGAGGCUGUCUCCUG